This 105-nucleotide transfer RNA is filed under the name Actinomycetota bacterium. Its description in RNAcentral is "tRNA-Ser". Lineage: Bacteria; Bacillati; Actinomycetota. The record is from RNAcentral.
GCGCGCCAACGACGCUAAUUUGGCUCUGUAGAGCCAAAUACAGCGCGUCCGCCGCGGUCUACGGAACCGAAGGUCAGAGGUUCGAAUCCUCUCGGGCGCGCUCCA